Non-coding RNA from Pelobates cultripes (western spadefoot toad), 437 nucleotides. The record is from the annotation of a GenBank genome assembly. Lineage: Eukaryota; Metazoa; Chordata; Amphibia; Anura; Pelobatidae.
GUACAGUCUUUUGUAAGAUCGUGUGAACGCUGCUCUUUUUACACACUUACAGAUUGAUUUUAUUUAUGUAUCCAAAAUUGGUAAGAAACAGCAAUACUUACUGGUCAUAGUUAAUCAGUUUAGUAGAUGGCAUGAGGCCUUUGUGACAUCUAGGGAAGAUGCUAGUGAAGAUUAUUGUUACUGAAAUUAUUCCCCGGUAUUGCUGCCCUCUGCAGAUUGGCUCUGAUAAUGGCCCGGUUUUUGCAAGUAGGGUUGCCCAGGAACUUGCUAAAUUCUUGCAAGUUACCUGGCAGUUUCAUAUACCCUAUCAUCCACAGAAUACAGGGGUAGUUGAAAGGAUGAAUAGGACUAUUAAGGAAAAGCCCAGAAUUUACCCAGGAACAUGGGUAAAUUGGACUAGAUAUCUACCAGCUAUUUUAGCUGAGAUAAGAAUGAAU